CUGGUGCAAAAGUCCAGAUUAGUGCAGGUCCCAGAGGUGGAUCUCUAGGACAUUUAUGGUAUAUCCUGUGCAUUGGCUAUAAAUUUACCUGAUGGAAAUAUCCAACUAUCCAAUCAGCCAUUCACUUCUCUGUAGGAGUAUAUAUGAGUUGUACAUCUUGCAGAUACAAGACAUGUGGCACAAGAUCUAGAUCAAGACACAAUAAAGCAAUGUGGGUGGGAAGUGGUGCUGAACUAGUGCUAUGUUAAGGAGAGAGAGAAAACCCAAGAAACCCUGUGCUGUGUACCUGCAAGCUGAGCCAUUCUGACUGCUGAAGAUGAUCCACACUGUUCAUCAAAGAUCACAUGACACGGGAAUGUCACACGAUCUGGACCGCAUCAUGUGACCACAGGUGGAGCCCGGUGGUAAUAAAAAGGCAGCUCCAGCUGUGAUCAAUUUCCUGUAUACUUGUAUUUAAUGGUUUGUGAACAUGAUGUCAGUUGUAGUCCGUCUAUCUGAGGAAGGGAACGGUCAGUUCCCAAAUGUGCUUAUAAUUGGACAAUAAAGUUUCAUCGUACAUCUUUAUCUGCUACCACCUUCAUUGGAGUGUCUGCAUGAUUGGAAGUCAUUUUUUCAGCUACAGUUUAUCCAUUUCCUCCUGGUCUGCUUGGGCCCCAUCGCCAGACUUGCACAUCCACGCUGCUCCUCCUGUGAUUAUUUCCCCAUAGUGGGUUUUUACUGCUUGGUCUAGUGUUGCGGCUGUUUCCACAACCUGCCCAGGUGAGCACCCCAACUUUAAUUGAUAUUGAAAUUUCUUAUUUGGAUGAUAUCACCCUAUGUGGCGCUCCGUGUUUUUUUUUUCUUUUUCUUCUAUAAGUGAAUAAAGUUUUUUUUUUUCUUAUCCGCACUGACUACAGCAUGUAUCAAAUGUUAAAUAUUUUAUAAAGAUGUUAAACUGUAAGACUGUAAAUAUUUUAUAUAGAUUUAGACUGUAAGCCCUCACGGGCAGGCC
This is a long non-coding RNA of Hyla sarda, 991 nucleotides long. RefSeq lists it as uncharacterized. NCBI's taxonomy places the organism in Eukaryota, Metazoa, Chordata, Amphibia, Anura, Hylidae. The record is from RefSeq and is a predicted model, not a curated record. The transcript has 3 exons.